Molecule: ribosomal RNA, 1372 nt
Filed under: uncultured bacterium
Lineage: Bacteria
Description: bacterial SSU rRNA
Rfam family: Bacterial small subunit ribosomal RNA
Source: RNAcentral
GAUGAACGCUGGCGGCGUGCCUAAUACAUGCAAGUCGAGCGAACGGACGAGAAGCUUGCUUCUCUGAUGUUAGCGGCGGACGGGUGAGUAACACGUGGAUAACCUACCUACAAGACUGGGAUAACUUCGGGAAACCGGAGCUAAUACCGGAUAAUAUUUUGAACCGCAUGGUUCAAAAGUGAAAGACGGUCUUGCUGUCACUUAUAGAUGGAUCCGCGCUGCAUUAGCUAGUUGGUAAGGUAACGGCUUACCAAGGCAACGAUGCAUAGCCGACCUGAGAGGGUGAUCGGCCACACUGGAACUGAGACACGGUCCAGACUCCUACGGGAGGCAGCAGUAGGGAAUCUUCCGCAAUGGGCGAAAGCCUGACGGAGCAACGCCGCGUGAGUGAUGAAGGUCUUCGGAUCGUAAAACUCUGUUAUUAGGGAAGAACAUAUGUGUAAGUAACUGUGCACAUCUUGACGGUACCUAAUCAGAAAGCCACGGCUAACUACGUGCCAGCAGCCGCGGUAAUACGUAGGUGGCAAGCGUUAUCCGGAAUUAUUGGGCGUAAAGCGCGCGUAGGCGGUUUUUUAAGUCUGAUGUGAAAGCCCACGGCUCAACCGUGGAGGGUCAUUGGAAACUGGAAAACUUGAGUGCAGAAGAGGAAAGUGGAAUUCCAUGUGUAGCGGUGAAAUGCGCAGAGAUAUGGAGGAACACCAGUGGCGAAGGCGACUUUCUGGUCUGUAACUGACGCUGAUGUGCGAAAGCGUGGGGAUCAAACAGGAUUAGAUACCCUGGUAGUCCACGCCGUAAACGAUGAGUGCUAAGUGUUAGGGGGUUUCCGCCCCUUAGUGCUGCAGCUAACGCAUUAAGCACUCCGCCUGGGGAGUACGACCGCAAGGUUGAAACUCAAAGGAAUUGACGGGGACCCGCACAAGCGGUGGAGCAUGUGGUUUAAUUCGAAGCAACGCGAAGAACCUUACCAAAUCUUGACAUCCUUUGACAACUCUAGAGAUAGAGCUUUCCCCUUCGGGGGACAAAGUGACAGGUGGUGCAUGGUUGUCGUCAGCUCGUGUCGUGAGAUGUUGGGUUAAGUCCCGCAACGAGCGCAACCCUUAAGCUUAGUUGCCAUCAUUAAGUUGGGCACUCUAAGUUGACUGCCGGUGACAAACCGGAGGAAGGUGGGGAUGACGUCAAAUCAUCAUGCCCCUUAUGAUUUAGGCUACACACGUGCUACAAUGGACAAUACAAAGGGCAGCGAAACCGCGAGGUCAAGCAAAUCCCAUAAAGUUGUUCUCAGUUCGGAUUGUAGUCUGCAACUCGACUACAUGAAGCUGGAAUCGCUAGUAAUCGUAGAUCAGCAUGCUACGGUGAAUACGUUCCCGGGUCU